RNAcentral lists this ribosomal RNA (254 nucleotides) under uncultured bacterium. Its description in RNAcentral is "partial 16S ribosomal RNA". It matches the Rfam family "Bacterial small subunit ribosomal RNA", at positions 524 to 776 of the family's 1533-position model. The record is from RNAcentral.
UACGGGGGGAGCAAGCGUUGUUCGGAUUUACUGGGCGUAAAGGGCGCGUAGGCGGCCACCGCAAGUCGACUGUGAAAUCUCCGGGCUUAACCCGGAAAGGUCAGCCGAUACUGCGGGGCUAGAGUGCAGAAGGGGCAACUGGAAUUCUCGGUGUAGCGGUGAAAUGCGUAGAUAUCCGGAGGAACACCUGUGGCGAAAGCGGCGCACUGGACCACAUCUGACGCUGAGGCGCGAAAGCUAGGGGAGCAAACAGG